UCUCUUCGGAGAAGAGCGGCGGACGGGUGAGUAACGCGUGGGUAACCUGCCUCAUACACAUGGAUAACAUACCGAAAGGUAUGCUAAUACAGGAUGACAUAAGAGAUUCGCAUGUUUCUCUUAUCAAAGCUCCGGCGGUAUGAGAUGGACCCGCGUCUGAUUAGCUAGUUGGUAAGGUAAUGGCUUACCAAGGCGACGAUCAGUAGCCGACCUGAGAGGGUGAUCGGCCACAUUGGAACUGAGACACGGUCCAAACUCCUACGGGAGGCAGCAGUGGGGAAUAUUGCACAAUGGGCGAAAGCCUGAUGCAGCAACGCCGCGUGAGUGAUGAAGGCCUUCGGGUCGUAAAACUCUGUCCUCAAGGAAGAUAAUGACGGUACUUGAGGAGGAAGCCCCGGCUAACUACGUGCCAGCAGCCGCGGUAAUACGUAGGGGGCUAGCGUUAUCCGGAUUUACUGGGCGUAAAGGGUGCGUAGGUGGUUUCUUAAGUCAGGAGUGAAAGGCUACGGCUUAACCGUAGUAAGCUCUUGAAACUGGGAAACUUGAGUGCAGGAGAGGAAAGUGGAAUUCCUAGUGUAGCGGUGAAAUGCGUAGAUAUUAGGAGGAACACCAGUAGCGAAGGCGGCUUUCUGGACUGUAACUGACACUGAGGCACGAAAGCG
RNAcentral lists this ribosomal RNA (662 nucleotides) under uncultured Clostridium sp. Its description in RNAcentral is "bacterial SSU rRNA". It matches the Rfam family "Bacterial small subunit ribosomal RNA", at positions 72 to 761 of the family's 1533-position model. The record is from RNAcentral. Lineage: Bacteria; Bacillati; Bacillota; Clostridia; Eubacteriales; Clostridiaceae.